AAAAAAAUUAACAUGAGGUACAUACUUAACAGGUCUCAUAGUUGUGAUUUUGAGAGAGGAAAGUAAAGGAAAGAACCAAACUCAGUUACAUCUGGUAAUUCUAGUUCCAGAAAUAGUUCCUGAUUGCAGACGGGUACUGAAGUUGCGUAGUUUACAAGUUAAAGUCUGCUGCUUCUAUCCUUUCUCGUCAACAUAUGCUAAGCAAAGGAGUCCAUCUGCUGAGUUUUACGAUCCCCAGAGUGUUGCAUCCCUCAAGUACUUCAGAUUUGGCCAUUACCAACAGAGGCUGCCUUCAGCAUGGUCUGCAGUGUUUAC
Long non-coding RNA from Gallus gallus (chicken), 315 nucleotides. Lineage: Eukaryota; Metazoa; Chordata; Aves; Galliformes; Phasianidae. The record is from Ensembl.